Molecule: long non-coding RNA, 1587 nt
Filed under: Homo sapiens (human)
Lineage: Eukaryota; Metazoa; Chordata; Mammalia; Primates; Hominidae
Description: HSALNT0293924
Source: RNAcentral
UCGCUCGCGCGCAGAACGCGGCGGUCAGCUGCGCCCGGCCUGAAGUUGUCCCAACCGCGGCCGCGUCGGUCGCCCUUUUGACUUGCAGCAGGGCGGGCAGAGCGACUUAGAGGAAAAGUGACUUUUUGUACCCUCCUGCAGGGAGCAGGUUCUCUGUCCUUGUUUAAUUAGACAUUUCUCAGAGAAUCCUGCCUCUGCUCUGAAGCCUUUCUGUUCGCUCCAGUGAAAAUUAGUCAUCCACCGGGCGCGGUGGCUCACGCCUGCAAUCCCAGCACUUUGGGAGGCCGAGGUCUGGGCUUGAUGUUCACCGAUUUUCCCUCAGCUCCGACUGUGGCUCCUCUCAGCUGACUCUGACCCUGCUCUCAGCCGGGCUGCAUCUGCCCAUCUCAGCACAUCAAUAAACAGCAGAGGGAAACUACCACCUUGGAAGGAGCCAGGCAGUUUCUGCUGGGUAGGCCGCAGCCUGGAACAUGGAAGUAGCUUCUUCCAUCCUACACUGGAAACCACCCAGCAUCCCGGGCCCUCCAGAGAAGAGCCAGACUCCCUUCCCUGGGAAGAGACUAUAGUCCUAUCUAGCUUUUCCUUACUUCAGUAUUGCAUGAUAAUUCUCAAGCCUGUUCUUUACAUAAAUACAAAAAGGAGAAAGUGAAAUAGUAGAGGAACCGACCGAUUUGAAGGAGCUGCCACUAUUUGAUUCCUCCUGUUAGGACAUCUGAAUGACCCCAAGUUCCUGUUCUUGAGGCUGUUGUAUCAUAUUCUUAAAAGCUAUGCAUGCAUUCUGCUUUGAAUGUGUCCCUCAGCCUCAUUCUUCUCCACUUGCUGGGGGCCAUCCCGCCCCACGGGAAGGUAAGUUCAGGCUCAGAAGGAAAGACACGACAAAAAAAUCUUGCUUUUAUUUUUGUUGUCUAAAAUCAUGUUUCAUGCUCUUCUUUGAAUAAAAUCCAGGACUCCAGAGAUGACCUGUUACUUUUCUUUCAGCAAGUCUCUAAUUUGCCGAGGAGUAAACUUGUAAUGAAAAGAAACCAGAACUCCCCAAGGUAGCUCCCCCUCACAGUCAUUCCUCAAGGCAGGGGAUCUUUAGAGCAGACCUCAAGAACUCCAUCCUUUCUGUGAAAUAGGGCUGCUAACUCAACACCUGUUAAGUAUGAUUUUUUAAAAUAUAUUUUUUGUUAAAACUUUGAUUAAUAGAGACAGAAACUUUCACUCCAAAACCUUUGCUAUGAUUAGAUCUAGAACAGAGACUAUUUGGUCUACGUUUGAACUGAAAAGUUUGCCCUUGACCUCGUGAAUUGUAUUGUUCUAAUUAAAGUGAUAACUGCAGUAUUAGCUUUUAUAUAAUUCCAAUAACCAAAUCGAGACUGCCCAUUUAGGUUUUCAAAAGGAAUCUGUUAGCACCAUCUUGUGACUAUUUUGGUACCGCUUAAAGAACAAAAUUUUCAGCCUGAGGCUUGCUUGUGUUCAAAAAGGCGUCUUCUCGCGCCCUCUUGUGAUGUGUUACAAAACUGGGAGAAACAACAGAUACAGGAUAACGCCUGUGGUUCCAGGAAUUGCUCUUCCUGCUAUCAUAGCUAUUAGUGAUUCUUUGAA